CUACGUGCCAGCAGCCGCGGUAAUACGGAAGGUCCGGGCGUUAUCCGGAUUUAUUGGGUUUAAAGGGAGCGUAGGCUGGAGAUUAAGUGUGUUGUGAAAUGUAGACGCUCAACGUCUGACUUGCAGCGCAUACUGGUUUCCUUGAGUACGCACAACGUUGGCGGAAUUCGUCGUGUAGCGGUGAAAUGCUUAGAUAUGACGAAGAACUCCGAUUGCGAAGGCAGCUGACGGGAGCGCAACUGACGCUGAAGCUCGAAGGUGCGGGUAUCGAACAGGAUUAGAUACCCUGGUAGUCCGCACAGUAAACGAUGGAUGCCCGCUGUUGGUACGUGGUAUCAGCGGCUAAGCGAAAGCAUUAAGCAUCCCACCUGGGGAGUACGCCGGCAACGGUGAAACUCAAAGGAAUUGACGGGGGCCCGCACAAGCGGAGGAACAUGUGGUUUAAUUCGAUGAUACGCGAGGAACCUUACCCGGGCUUGAAUUGCAGACGAACGAUUCAGAGAUGAUGAGG
RNAcentral lists this ribosomal RNA (511 nucleotides) under uncultured bacterium. RNAcentral's name for it is "bacterial SSU rRNA". It matches the Rfam family "Bacterial small subunit ribosomal RNA", at positions 501 to 1014 of the family's 1533-position model. The record is from RNAcentral.